UGGGGAAUAUUGGACAAUGGGCGAAAGCCUGAUCCAGCCAUGCCGCGUGUGUGAAGAAGGUAUUCGGAUUGUAAAGCACUUUAAGUUGGGAGGAAGGGCAGUAAGCGAAUACCUUGCUGUUUUGACGUUACCGACAGAAUAAGCACCGGCUAACUCUGUGCCAGCAGCCGCGGUAAUACAGAGGGUGCAAGCGUUAAUCGGAAUUACUGGGCGUAAAGCGCGCGUAGGUGGUUCGUUAAGUUGAAUGUGAAAGCCCCGGGCUCAACCUGGGAACUGCAUCCAAAACUGGCGAGCUAGAGUAGGGCAGAGGGUGGUGGAAUUUCCUGUGUAGCGGUGAAAUGCGUAGAUAUAGGAAGGAACACCAGUGGCGAAGGCGACCACCUGGGCUCAUACUGACACUGAGGUGCGAAAGCGUGGGGAGCAAACAGG
Molecule: ribosomal RNA, 429 nt
Filed under: Pseudomonadota bacterium
Lineage: Bacteria; Pseudomonadati; Pseudomonadota
Description: Proteobacteria bacterium partial 16S ribosomal RNA
Rfam family: Bacterial small subunit ribosomal RNA
Source: RNAcentral